AUGGCCGAGUGGUGUAAGGCGCCAGACUCAAGUUCUGGUCCUCUAACGAGGGCGUGGGUUCAAACCCCACUUCUGACAUUUUCUUUAUUCCCUUUUUAUGGCUUUAUAAAAAAGUUAUACUCCCUUUGUCCCGUAAUGUAA
Molecule: ribosomal RNA, 141 nt
Filed under: Triticum aestivum (bread wheat)
Lineage: Eukaryota; Viridiplantae; Streptophyta; Magnoliopsida; Poales; Poaceae
Description: partial small subunit ribosomal RNA
Rfam family: tRNA (bases 1-78)
About the family: Transfer RNA (tRNA) molecules are approximately 80 nucleotides in length. Their secondary structure includes four short double-helical elements and three loops (D, anti-codon, and T loops).
Source: RNAcentral